GUGCCAGUGGUGUAGGGGUAUCAUGCAAGAUUCCCAUUCUUGCGACCCGGGUUUGAUUCCCGGCUGGCGCA
Molecule: transfer RNA, 71 nt
Filed under: Megalops atlanticus (tarpon)
Lineage: Eukaryota; Metazoa; Chordata; Actinopteri; Elopiformes; Megalopidae
Rfam family: tRNA
About the family: Transfer RNA (tRNA) molecules are approximately 80 nucleotides in length. Their secondary structure includes four short double-helical elements and three loops (D, anti-codon, and T loops). Further hydrogen bonds mediate the characteristic L-shaped molecular structure. tRNAs have two regions of fundamental functional importance: the anti-codon, which is responsible for specific mRNA codon recognition, and the 3' end, to which the tRNAs corresponding amino acid is attached (by aminoacyl-tRNA synthetases). tRNAs cope with the degeneracy of the genetic code in two manners: having more than one tRNA (with a specific anti-codon) for a particular amino acid; and 'wobble' base-pairing, i.e. permitting non-standard base-pairing at the 3rd anti-codon position.
Source: Rfam by way of RNAcentral